CCUACGGGUGGCAGCAGUGGGGAAUAUUGGACAAUGGGCGAAAGCCUGAUCCAGCAAUACCGAGUGGGUGAUGAAGGCCUUAGGGUUGUAAAGCCCUUUUCAGCAGGGAAGAUAAUGACGGUACCUGACCAAGAAAGCCCCGGCUAACUCCGUGCCAGCAGCCGCGGUAAGACGGAGGGGGCUAGCGUUGUUCGGAAUUACUGGGCGUAAAGAGUGCGUAGGCGGUUUUGUAAGUUGGAAGUGAAAGCCCGAGGCUUAACCUCGGAACUGCUUUCAAAACUGCUAAUCUAGAGUGUAGUAGGGGAUGAUGGAAUUCCUAGUGUAGAGGUGAAAUUCUUAGAUAUUAGGAGGAACACCGGUGGCGAAGGCGGUCAUCUAGGCUACAACUGACGCUGAUGCACGAAAGCGUGGGGAGCAAACAGGAUUAGAUACCCGUGUAGU
RNAcentral lists this ribosomal RNA (441 nucleotides) under uncultured Rickettsia sp. RNAcentral describes it as "bacterial SSU rRNA". It matches the Rfam family "Bacterial small subunit ribosomal RNA", at positions 338 to 794 of the family's 1533-position model. Lineage: Bacteria; Pseudomonadati; Pseudomonadota; Alphaproteobacteria; Rickettsiales; Rickettsiaceae. The record is from RNAcentral.